GACGAACGCUGGCGGCGUGCUUAACACAUGCAAGUCGAACGGCAAGGCCCUGCUUGCUGGGUCCUCGAGUGGCGAACGGGUGAGUAACACGUGGGUGAUCUGCCCUGCACUUCGUGAUAAGCCUUGGCAACUGGGUCUAAUACCUGAUAGGAGCUAUUUUUAGUGUGUUGGUUGGAAGGUUUUUUCGGGGUAGGGUGAGGUGGCGGCCUAUCAGCUUGUUGGUGGGGUAAUGGCGUACCGAGGCGGCGAGGGGUAGCAGGCCUGAGAGGGUGGACGGCCACAGUGGGACCGAGAGACGGCCCAGACUGCGACGGGAGGCAGAAGGGGGGAAGAUUGCACAAGGGGCGCAGGCCUGAUGCAGCGAGGCCGCGUGGGGGAGGACGGCCUUCGGGUUAGAAAAUCGUUUCGCUAGGGACGAAGCUUUUUGUGACGGUACCUAGAGAAGAAGCACCGGCUAACUACGUG
Molecule: ribosomal RNA, 465 nt
Filed under: uncultured bacterium
Lineage: Bacteria
Description: partial 16S ribosomal RNA
Rfam family: Bacterial small subunit ribosomal RNA
Source: RNAcentral